CGACCCCAGGUCACAUGCA
Molecule: ribosomal RNA, 19 nt
Filed under: Cirsium wheeleri
Lineage: Eukaryota; Viridiplantae; Streptophyta; Magnoliopsida; Asterales; Asteraceae
Description: partial 28S ribosomal RNA
Source: RNAcentral